This is a long non-coding RNA of Homo sapiens (human), 1223 nucleotides long. NCBI's taxonomy places the organism in Eukaryota, Metazoa, Chordata, Mammalia, Primates, Hominidae. The record is from Ensembl.
UCUUCCGCGGCCGCGGUGGGAAUGGAAACAUCUGCCCCACGUGCAGGAAGCCGGGUGGUGGCCACGACAGCGCGCCACUCCGCAGCGUAACCUCGCAGAUCCCCUGCGUGUGUCCUCGCAAGACUAGCUCACCGAAAUGGCCGCGUCCAGUCAAGGAAACUUUGAGGGAGAUAUUGAGUCAGUGGACCUUGCAGAAUUUGCUAAGCAGCAGCCGUGGUGGCGUAAGCUGUUUGGGCCAGAAUCUGGACUCUCAGCCGAAAAGUAUAGCGUGGCAACCCACCUGUUCAUUGGAGGUGUCACUGGAUGGUGCACGGGUUUUAUAUUCCAGAAGGUUGGAAAGUUGGCUGCAACAGCUGUGGGAGGUGGAUUUUUUCUCCUUCAGCUUGCAAACCAUUCUGGGUACAUCAAAGUUGAUUGGCAACGAGUGGAGAAGGACAUGAAGAAAGCCAAAGAGCAGCUGAAGAUCCCUAAGAGCACUCAGAUACCUAACCAGGUCAGGAGCAAAGCUGAGGAGGUGGUGUCAUUUGUGAAGAAAAAUGUUCUAGUGACUGGGGGAUUUUUCGGAGGCUUUCUGCUUGGCAUGGCAUCCUAAAGAAGAUACCUCAUUUUCAUUGUUCCUGGUUUUUUCCAGUCAGCAGCCUCUACACUCCAUCACAGGACAUUGAGUCCCUCCUCCUCUUCUCCCAUGCCUUCCUCCCUGCUGUGGCAAAUCCGAGUGGCUUCUAUAAGCAUCCGUUGGUACAAGUUAAUGUGGCACCAUGAGCCUGACUGGCUUCUAUAAGCAUCUGUUGGCACAAGUUAACGUGGCACCAUGAGCUUGAUGGCAGCAGAAGAGACAAUAGUCCUUAGCUCUUCUUCCAGUACGCCCCCUACUUAGUCAGUCUGUAGGUCAUCAAGAAGGUCCCUCUACCCCUAUGCAAGACACUUACAAGAACACAUUGCAAGAUAGCUGACCGUGGAGGAUGAGUGGAUCCUGAAAUGUUGUCCCGAACUGUUGAUUUGGAAAAGAAAUAAGCACAUAGAUAACCUUAUUGUGUGCUGCAUGGAAAGGAACUGAAUACAAUUGCCUUUAAGCAUUAAAAAAAAAGGAUGAAAAAUUGGGGUGUCACAUUUGCAAAAUGGAUGGACAAAUGUGGUCAGGGCAGAUCAAGGAAGUACCUUCCACUCUGAGAGUCAGAAUGCUCUGCAUGUGUGCUAAGGCAUUAAAUGAAGAUUGAAAGUCA